GGCAGGGCCUGUGACAGGAGGGACAGUUCCCAUUGGUUCCCAGAGGGGACAUGUCACUGAGAAGUCAGUUAUCAUUGGCUCCCAGAGGUGGCACAUCACUGAAAAGACACCUCCCAAUGUUCCCCACAGGUGGCAAAUGAUUGAGAAGAUAGUUCCCAUUGGCUCCCAGGUGGCAAGUGACUGAGAAGUUAGCUCCCAUUGGCUCCCAGUGGCUCCCAGAGGUGGCAUGUGACUGAAAAGUCAUCUCCAGAUGGGCCCCAGACAAGGCAUGUGGCUGAGAAGACAGCUCUCAUUGGUUCCCAGGUGGCACAUGACUGAAAAGUAAACUCCCAUUGGUUUCCAGAUGUGGUCAUGACUGAGAAGUCAGCUCCUAUUCACUCCCGGGUGGCUCAUGACUGAGAAGUCAGCUCCCAUUGGUUUCUGGAGGUGGCUCGUGACUGAGAGGUGUCCUGAGAGGGGCCACCCCACCUCUGUCCCUCCACCAGAGUGGGCCAUUUUCCCCAUGAUCUCUAGGAAACCACCAGGACUGUCCUUUCCAGGCUCUGUCCCUCUGCAGGUGGAGGGGAGCCUCACCCUGUGGGCUUAAAGGUGGUGCCGAUUCUUUGCUACGUCCCAUUGAGCAGUGAAAUCCACGUCCCUCCCCUUGGGCAUGCAGAGUGAGGUCCGGAGCUCCCAGGCAGGAUCAUUAGAGGCCUGGAGGCUGCAGUCGUGGGGAGAGAGCAAGGUCUGGGGACGCCAGGGCUCGGAUGUGGAACUGAGGUGGCCCAGCUGGCCCCAUCCACCAGGGACAGCCCCCCAGCCAAGCCCCGCGCGAAUGUCUGACCAACAAAAUCAUGAGCAAAAUCACACGUCUGCUGUGAGUCGCUGCGUGUCAGCGUGCUUCGUUGUGCAGCAGAAGUUCUCCAGAACCGGAGCCCAGACUCCAAGCGUGCACGGGGGAUUAAAGAAUUAAAGCGAAAUCCCUGAAGAUAAAGAUGGUAAACAACACAUCCUGGGUCACCCCUCCUUCUAUUCUUUUUUUCCCCCAGUAAAUGUCAUGCUUCAAGGGAGUAUAACUAAGGAAAGCUCAAAGUAAUAAUAUCAGAAAUCUGCUUCCUUUUAUUUCUUCUGACAUUUUAUUGUGAUAUGUAAUUGGAAGAAGACGAAACCUCUGAUGGGUAUAUUUAGUUCGUUGUGUUGGUGAGUGUUUCAAAGGUGGGUCCUCUGCGGCUCUCAUUAGCAUCAAGUAUGCAAAUCUUCAAGUUGCUCCUUAAUGAGCACAGUCACGCUAUAGGCAUGUGACAUAUCCGUAUCUAGGACUGGGCAUCUCGUGAAUGGGUCUCAUGUCAUAAACCUGGAACUUAGCCCCAACAGAAACACAUGCCUAGCUAUGGCGGCUGCUCAGCCAGCACAGCCCCACUUCUGUUCACUCCCAACGGGGGCUCAUGACUGAGAAGUCAGCCCCCAUUGGUUGACUUCAGCAAAUGUGAGCCCUCAGCAAGUGUGAGCCAUUUUCUUCCAGGUCUGUAGGACCCAAGGGACCCCGACUUCUUCGUCACAUGCUACCACUUCUGGGAGCGUCUGACAGGCUUUAUCCUAGAGAAGCCUUGUCCAAGGGAACACCAAGCUACGAAUGAGUUCCUGGCUGUCAUUUUCAACCCAGGCAAAGAUAAUCUCAUGUCCUUGCAUGUCUCAGCAGGCGGCCCUUGUUCCUCCAAGCAUGGCUCAGUCUCUCACUGGGGAACCAGGGCACGCUUGCUCCUGACUGGCUGGUGGGAUGCGCUGCAGGCCCUCUGGUCUCUGGCUCUCUGCUUGUCUUUGUUAUUUUGGCUUUGUUGUCAUUUUUAAUGGUAAGUGUCUCUGAGCACUAUCUCUCCAAGAUCACACUGAGCUUGCCAUGUCCUCUGGUAAGGGAGAAGGUGAUUGUGGUCUGAUGUUCUGGAUUCAUCCAAUCAGUGUCCCCCAACCUACCCGCCUACUAACCUAAGCCAUCUGAGCCAAAUCAGCCUCCAUUAGCCACAUCCACUGGCAGUGCUACCCACGCAGCAUGUGUCAGGUUAUUUGUCUAACUGAGACCUAUCAGGCAUCCCCAGUGUGGCACACAAGCUCUACACUGGAAGUUCACUGGUAAAAGGAGAGAUGAGGUUGUCCUCCCAUGUGGCUUAACUCCUAGGGUGCCAGACAGCCAAUAAACAAGUAAAUCAAUUCAUAAGCAAGAUAAAUGCAGAUAGUGAAGACUGCUGUGAAGAAAAUAAAAUGGCAAAGCUAAUGUGGGAAGCCCAGGGUGUGGGGAAAGACUAUUUGGUGGGGAAGUCAGGGAGGGCUUCACCAAGAGGUGACUCUAAGUCCUGCGUGACAGAAAGAAGGCAGCCAUUCAGCGGUGUGAGGACCCAGACAUCCAGGCAGAGGGCAUGGCCAGUGCCAAGGUCACGAGGUAAGAAUGAACUUGGAGCAUUUGAGAAACAGCAGGGUCCACGUGUCUGAGCAAGUGGGGGAGCCGAGGGAUUGCCUUCCACUAUUUGAGGUUCAGCUCAAAAUCCUCCUUAGAUUGCCUUUUCCUGACGUCUCCUGCUAAGAGGUUCUGCCUGCCCUGACCCUGACCCCAGUGACCCUCCAACAUUUUACCUUUUCUAUUUGCUUGGCAACUUUUAUCAAUUUCCAGGCCACCUUAACUAUGUGUUUAUCAGUUCACUCUCUGUUUCUCCUGCUGGAGUAUAUGCUUUGUAGGGAAAGUCAUCUCUGCCUUUUUCGCAGCCAUAUCCCCAGUGCCUCUUACAGUUCAGGGUACCUGGAGUGUACUCAAGAAAUAAUUGUUGAAUGAACAAUUCACCACACCUAUCGUGAGCUAUUCACAAAGCAGUGGUACUGGCAUCACCAGCGUGGAUCUGUCACAUCUGGAGAGAAUUUAAGUCUAUUUACAUUUAUCUUUGGGCCUGGAGGACAUUGUAUACACUCACACACACACACACACACACACAGAUACAAAUAACAGUUACGACAAGCACAAUCAUACUUGCCUGUGAGCUCUUUAUGUGCCAGAUUUGUCUGAGAAGUUAAUCAACUCAUGUAUAAAGAUGUUAAUGUCAACAAGAAAAAAACAAAUAAUCCCAUAAAAAAAGUGGGAUUAUUAAAAGAAGGCAUACAAACAAACAGCCAACAAACAUGAAAAAAUGCUCAACAUCACUAAUUAUCCAAGGAAAUCCAAAUUAAAACUGGAAUGAGAUACCACCUUACUCCUGCAAGAAUGGCCAUAAUUUAAAAAUCAAAAAAAAAAAAAAUAGACGUUGGCAUGGAUGUGGUGAAAAGGAACACUUUUACACUGCUGGUGGGGUUGUAAAUUAGUACAACCACUAUGGAAGCCAGUAUGGAGAUUUCUUAAAGAAGCGAAAGUAGAAUUAUCAUUCAGUCCAGCAGUUUCACUACGGGGUAUCUACCCAAAUGAAAAAAGUCAUUGUAUGAGAAAGACAAUUGCACGCACGUGUUUAUAGCAGCACAAUUUUCUGUUGCAAAAAUAUGGAACCAGCCUAAAUGCCCAACAUCCAAUGGGUGGAGAAAGAAAAUGUGAUGUAUUUACACCAUGGAAUACUACUCAGCCAUGAAAGAGAAUGAAAUAGUGGCCUUUCAACUUGGAUGGACCUGAAGGCCAUUAUUCUAAGUGAAGUAAUUCAGGAAUGGAAAACCAAAUAUCAUAUGUUCUCACUUUUAAGUGGGAGCUAAGCUAUGAGGAUGCAAAGGCAUAAGAAUGAUAUAAUUGACUUUGGGGACUCAGUUGGAGGGGAACGUGGGAGGGGGAUGAGGGUUAAAGGCUACAUAUUUGGUACAGUGUACACUGCUUGGGUGACAGGUGCCCCAAAAUCUCAGAAAUCGCUACUAAAGAAGUUAACCAUGCAACCAAACACCACUUGUACCCCAAAACUAUGGAAAUAAAAUGGUUUUUUUAAAGAUAC
RNAcentral lists this long non-coding RNA (3926 nucleotides) under Homo sapiens (human). Its description in RNAcentral is "HSALNT0000881". The record is from RNAcentral. Lineage: Eukaryota; Metazoa; Chordata; Mammalia; Primates; Hominidae.